This 72-nucleotide transfer RNA is filed under the name Plectosphaerella cucumerina. It matches the Rfam family "tRNA". From Rfam's summary of the family: Transfer RNA (tRNA) molecules are approximately 80 nucleotides in length. Their secondary structure includes four short double-helical elements and three loops (D, anti-codon, and T loops). RNAcentral also lists the same sequence under 1 other name. The record is from Rfam by way of RNAcentral. Lineage: Eukaryota; Fungi; Ascomycota; Sordariomycetes; Glomerellales; Plectosphaerellaceae.
GGGGGAUUAGUUCAGUGGUAGAAUAUCUGAUUCCAGUCCAGAAGGUCGUCGGUUCAACUCCGGCAUCCCUCA